This 459-nucleotide ribosomal RNA is filed under the name uncultured bacterium. RNAcentral's name for it is "partial 16S ribosomal RNA". It matches the Rfam family "Bacterial small subunit ribosomal RNA", at positions 338 to 795 of the family's 1533-position model. The record is from RNAcentral.
CCUACGGGUGGCAGCAGUGAGGAAUAUUGGUCAAUGGACGAGAGUCUGAACCAGCCAAGCCGCGUGAAGGAUGACUGCCCUAUGGGUUGUAAACUUCUUUUGUCAAGGAACAAAACGAGGCACGUGUGCCUUUUUGCGUGUACUUGAAGAAUAAGCAUCGGCUAACUCCGUGCCAGCAGCCGCGGUAAUACGGAGGAUGCGAGCGUUAUCCGGAUUUAUUGGGUUUAAAGGGUGCGUAGGCGGGCGUUUAAGUCAGCGGUAAAAGUUCGGGGCUCAACCCCGGCCGGCCGUUGAAACUGGGAGUCUUGAGUGGGCGAGAAGAAGGCGGAAUGCGCGGUGUAGCGGUGAAAUGCAUAGAUAUCGCGCAGAACUCCGAUUGCGAAGGCAGCAUUCCGGCGCCACACUGACGCUGAGGCACGAAAGCGCGGGGAUCGAACAGGAUUAGAUACCCUUGUAGUC